GGGCAAAUAGGGUAGUUCUGUGGUUAGAAAGCGUAAGUCCACGAGUAGUCAUGGGUUCGACUCCCAUUGUGUCCA
This 75-nucleotide transfer RNA is filed under the name Caudoviricetes sp. Its description in RNAcentral is "tRNA-Ser". Lineage: Duplodnaviria; Heunggongvirae; Uroviricota; Caudoviricetes. The record is from RNAcentral.